UACCAGCACCCCGAGUGGUCGGGACGUUUAUUGGGCCUAAAGCAUCCGUAGCCGGUUCUACAAGUCUUCCGUUAAAUCCACCUGCUUAACAGAUGGGCUGCGGAAGAUACUAUAGAGCUAGGAGGCAGGAGAGGCAAGCGGUACUCAGUGGGUAGGGGUAAAAUCCGUUGAUCCAUUGAAGACCACCAGUGGCGAAGGCGGCUUGCCAGAAUGCGCUCGACGGUGAGGGAUGAAGGCUGGGGGAGCAAACCGG
Molecule: ribosomal RNA, 253 nt
Filed under: uncultured bacterium
Lineage: Bacteria
Description: partial 16S ribosomal RNA
Rfam family: Archaeal small subunit ribosomal RNA
Source: RNAcentral